GGGGAAGUAGAUAUAUUGGGCCCAUAAGCCUUAUUGUGAUUAAAAGCUUCACCACAUAUGGUGAAAUUCUAGAGUUACCCAUAUCGCUGUUAUUAGCAUAUAAAUGCUCUUAUCUGCCAGAGUUGGACAUAAUCAUGAAAUAUGCCAUCAUUUCAGGAUGAAGUUUUGAGCUGCCUGGGGUCCCAUAACAUUAUGAGAAUGAAGUAGCAAUACUAUUGUCGUGGUUGAAGAAGCACAUUCAUUAUCAAUUUGGAGCCCCAGAUGGGAAUACAGUAAAGGGAUGUACAUGCUGAUUGUAAACUGUACCUCAAUUAUAUCUGAAAGCAAGAAUGAAGAGCUGGUGGAUGUAGAGAUACUUGGGAACCUCCCUUCUUAUAAAAAUACGAAGCAGAGAGAAUACCUUUUCCUCUAAGCAGUCUAUCAAAAUGACACCAAUUUUUAUGGAUUUACUGGUAUACAGAGUUGAUAGAUAAGCCUGUUAAAGUUCAUUCAGUGAAUUAUCAGUACUGAUUAGGAAUGUUGAAAAUGUAGCAGAAAGGGUGUAUUUUUUUAACAGUACACAUUCUCCUUGGGUCACCUUGAGUCA
Molecule: long non-coding RNA, 586 nt
Filed under: Numida meleagris (helmeted guineafowl)
Lineage: Eukaryota; Metazoa; Chordata; Aves; Galliformes; Numididae
Description: lncRNA (ENSNMEG00000000089.1)
Source: RNAcentral